RNAcentral lists this small RNA (125 nucleotides) under Marmota monax (woodchuck). Lineage: Eukaryota; Metazoa; Chordata; Mammalia; Rodentia; Sciuridae. The record is from RNAcentral.
GCCUGGCACGGUGGUGCACGCCUGUAAUCCCAGCAGCUCGGGAGGCUGAGACAGGAGGAUCUUGAGUUCAAAGCCAGCCUCAACAACAGCAAGGCACUAAGCAACUCAGUGAGACCUUGUCUCUA